ACAUCACUCAUCCUUCUAGCUAGCAGGCACACGGACAGUUCAUCAGUGGGCAUGGCAGUUAUUGAGUUUUUGAGUCAUGUUUGCCUCAGAUGCCUCUGGCCAGUUCCACCAAGCAAACACUCACUGUCACUGCCUUUGACUGAUAAACAGGUGACGACUCACUGAAUGGGAGCUAGUGCUAGACAGAGUCAGACCUUAGGAUACAACAGGAAAAGAGCAGAGCAGCAGUGCACCGAUGGCCCACCCAACCCCUCAACAGGUUUGCUGUGAGGUUCGAGAAGAAGUGAGGAGGAGAAAGUGAACUGUAUUAGAUGCCAUGAUGGAGGACGACCAGCCCAAGUCGAAGCCGCCUACACCUUCUCCCUUGCUGGACCUAGAACACAGUCCUGGAGCCUCGUCAGUAACGAACCAUGCAGAGGUAUAGUAUAUCUAGUGCUUUAGCCAAAAUGUUAAUAGAUAGCCUUUACAUAAUUUAAUGAUGCUGAGUCGCUGAAGCUAUGAGAAUUGGCUGACCGAAAGCUUCGGCAUAAUAGUAGACAAUUCCAAACAUAUUGAUCUAGAAUCAGUUUUGAGGGCAUUAGAUUAAAUGUGUUAUUGGCAGUGUACUGUGCACUCUUAUUUGGCACUAUGCAUUUAUGGGGUCAAAUAUUUACUUGAAAACAAAAGUAAAAUCAUCAUUGCUGACUUUUUGUUAGGGCAUUUGAAACACCUUGAUGUACCCUACAAGGAGAUUUGCUCAUGAUUUUUGCCAGCUUCUUUUUCCACAGAGUGUGGUAUUUCUGUAAGUUGGAUCAAAAGCCUUGUUCAUGGCACUGACUGUUCACAUUGUGCCACAACAUUGUGCCACAACAUCAUUGUGCCACAACAUCUACUCUUUAUGAUAAGCAUGAAAACUAUUAUUUACUGGUGAUGGGUUCUGACUUCUAAACUUGAAGUAUGAAAUGUCCUUGUUCAUGGUACUGAGGGAGAGAGGGGAGUGCAGAGCAUGUUAUUGUUAGACAUCAGGUAUCCUAUGGAAAGGAGAAGGGCCACAGUCUGGUUUCAGUUGUUGGGUUUUAAUUUGAAAUACUUGCUACACCAGAAGUUAAUGGUUAUCUGUAGGAGGAAUGUAUAUGGUGGGGUCAAUUAAGGUUGGAUAUGAGCCAGGGACUUGGAAUGUUACUAAGUAAGAGAAAGGCAAUCAUAUGAUUGUGGUCACUGAUAGGGUGGAUUAGUGAGGAAUGGGGGCCGAGGCCAGGUCACAUUAAGGGAGAAGGAACAGUUUAUUACCCACAUCACUUAACUUCCUGCCUAGCAACAGAGAUGUAUUGGCUGUCCAGAUGUGUACGGAGGAGACUCCGCAUAGGAGGAAGGUUUAAAUACCAGUACUUGUGUAAAUGUGUUUUUGUCAUAGGUUGCUGUGUAACGCAGUGGGUGAAUAAACCUGGUUUGAGCUUUGCUAGUCGUCCGUGAGUUUUUACUCCGUUUAUUUAGAACCUAACACUGGGAACACAGUAGUGUCUUGUUAGUGUGACUAACCUCUCUGUCAACAAUGAGAACCACUUAACAUGCUGUAGGUGUGACAAAGAAAUGGAGGCAAAAAAGCCAGUAGCAUUGGCUCCAGUACCAUUCUUAUCAACUUUCAAGAGUUAGGCUAGGCUACCCAAAACAACUUCCUGACCACAAUCACUCUCUUGAAAGAUUGCAAUGAUUUCAACUCAAGAAGUUAAAGCUACAAUAUGCAACUUUUUGGGCGACCUGUCCAAAUUCACAUAGAAAUGUGAAUUAUAGAUCAAUUAUUCUCAUUGAAAGCAAGAUCUGUUCUCUGUGCACUAUUUCUAUGCUUCCGUUAAGUUUAGUUUUUGCGUCCUUUUACUUUUGGUUUUGUACACCAGCUGAAAAUAUAAUCUUUUUGGUUAUUGAAAAUAUAUUUAACAGUGCUUUGUUUGAAUGGUACAUUGAUUCUCUACACUAUACAUUGCUUGUUUUGUUACAUAAACUAUUUGAAUUGAAGUAACCAGAAAAUGGCGGAGCGAUUUCUGCAUAUUGCACCUUAUAACUAUGGUUAGAGUACGAUAGUAAUCUUUUUUGAAAUAAUAUAAAAAUAUCCAGUAGUGUUACUUUUUCAGAAGCUUGUAUUGAAAUGG
This 2126-nucleotide long non-coding RNA is filed under the name Salmo salar (Atlantic salmon). Its description in RNAcentral is "lncRNA (ENSSSAG00000083342.1)". The record is from RNAcentral. Lineage: Eukaryota; Metazoa; Chordata; Actinopteri; Salmoniformes; Salmonidae.